GACGAACGCUGGCGGCGUGCUUAACACAUGCAAGUCGAACGGAAAGGCCCUGCUUUUGUGGGGUGCUCGAGUGGCGAACGGGUGAGUAACACGUGAGUAACCUGCCCCUGACUUUGGGAUAACUUCAGGAAACUGGGGCUAAUAUCGGAUAGGAGCUCUUGCUGCAUGGUGGGGGAUGGAAAGAUUCGGCGGUUGGGGAUGGACUCGCGGCUUACCAGCUUGUUGGUGGGGUAGUGGCUUACCAAGGCUUUGACGGGUAGCCGGCCUGAGAGGGUGACCGGCCACAUUGGGACUGAGAUACGGCCCAGACUCCUACGGGAGGCAGCAGUGGGGAAUAUUGCACAAUGGGCGGAGGCCGGGUGCAGCAGCGCCGCGUGCGGGAUGACGGCCUUCGGGUUGUAAACCGCUUUCGCCUGUGACGAAGCGUGAGUGACGGUAAUGGGUAAAGAAGCACCGGCUAACUACGUG
This 468-nucleotide ribosomal RNA is filed under the name uncultured bacterium. RNAcentral's name for it is "partial 16S ribosomal RNA". It matches the Rfam family "Bacterial small subunit ribosomal RNA", at positions 28 to 507 of the family's 1533-position model. The record is from RNAcentral.